UUCCUUGAGUGAACGACAGCUUCAGAAACUGUGAGUGGCCAGUGAGACAACAUUCCUCAGAUUGUGUUACUAUUUCUCCCACAUUAGUUUCUCUUCAUAUACCUGUACUUAACAUUUCACCUCAGGCAAGCAAUGUUCCUGUCCUCGUUGGAGGUGAAAUUUCACAUUGUGGUCUGUGUCAUGAUUUCUAGUGUCCUUCUUUUAGGAUUUCCACUCUGAUAUUCUCUGCAACAGCCCAUCAUUAUUUUAUUUUUCUUUAACUUAAACAUUGAGUUUUGUUCUAAUUGAUACUAUUCUAAAAUGUAUGUCUAUUCACCAGUAUUUUCCUCAAUUUCACAUUAUUUGGUCAUGUGUGCUUACCUGGUCUUGUGAGCUUGUCAACACUUUAAUUCCCCUAGUCUACUCAAGGUGUUUCUCAGGUUUAUUUCUUUUUUUCCUCAAUUAUUUUAGGCAUGAAAAAAAGCCAUAACAAGCAAGAAAUAAUAUCUAUGCAAGAUAUCUACAUGAAGGACCCACCUAACUGCUGGACAAUACAGAAACGUCAUGCAGGAGAAGACCUCUCUGUAUAUAGUGGGUAUGAAGUUUUCAUUCACACCUACACAUUGACGCAACAUGUCUUAACUCACACUAGACAGAAACUCUAUAGAUGCAAUGAAUGUGGAAAGCACUUCACCCGAAACGCCAACCUUCAUACCCAUAAAAUAAG
Long non-coding RNA from Herpailurus yagouaroundi (jaguarundi), 706 nucleotides. RefSeq lists it as uncharacterized. NCBI's taxonomy places the organism in Eukaryota, Metazoa, Chordata, Mammalia, Carnivora, Felidae. The transcript has 2 exons. The record is from RefSeq and is a predicted model, not a curated record.